RNAcentral lists this long non-coding RNA (385 nucleotides) under Rattus norvegicus (Norway rat). RNAcentral's name for it is "long non-coding RNA NONRATT022369". Lineage: Eukaryota; Metazoa; Chordata; Mammalia; Rodentia; Muridae. The record is from RNAcentral.
GUGAGCUGUCAUGCCCAUGUGCUGGUACGCCUGCGACUACAACCCAGAGUUCUCUGCUGUACCUCACCUCAGUGCUUAAAAUGCAUGCUGGUCCUCCACAUCAGCACCCUCAUUUCUUUUUACGUGGCCAGAUUAGUUGCUCAAUAGACCGGACGUUUGACAUCCAGAGACAUAGGGAAAGAUCUAGCUAUCAGAAGUGGCCACACUUUUCCUAUUAUCCAACUUGGUGGGGUAUGCUGCUCCCUGAUGUUUACAGGCACCAAAGGAAGAAGCUGGAGCAGGGCAGCUGGGGUAGUGGAGGAGAAACACCAGCAGUAAUAAGUGGAGAACCUCUGAGAAACAUUCAAGAUUUCAUCAGAGCCAAAGGAAUGACCGGGUGAUGGCA